Long non-coding RNA from Girardinichthys multiradiatus, 840 nucleotides. RefSeq lists it as uncharacterized. The record is from RefSeq and is a predicted model, not a curated record. The transcript is spliced from 5 exons. Lineage: Eukaryota; Metazoa; Chordata; Actinopteri; Cyprinodontiformes; Goodeidae.
GUCCCACAGAUCCUAGAUCAGUCUCCAGCGCAGUAAAUGGACCGUGCCAUCAGAAAUUAAAGAGAACGUUCCAAAACGGCCCGAACAGGGGGGACUGUGACGUUUCCAACUAACACCUAGUUCCCCAAAAAAAGAGGUAACCCAACAUAUUAUUUAGUUUAAAAUUUAUUUUUAAGCGUAAUUAUCUAUAGUCAUUCGUUUCCAACUAAGCUUCUAUAUUCAGGCAUAAAAUAAUCAAGCGUUUGAUUUGAGUUAUCCCUAAAAUGGACCGUACCACUUCCCAACCAGCCGUUUUGACGGAGCUGUCUAUUAAUUCCAGCUAAUUUAACUUCCUAGAAGAGACCGAAUUCCGGCGACAAGAACUAAAACUUUUGAGGAGCAAUACAAGACCUUGUCUGAUGCCAUUGAGCAGAAACGAGACCAAGCAGGUGAAGAAACAGGAAACAGGAAGGUGAAGACAAAGUUGGGCUGAGAGGGAGAUUAGGAGAUCCGCCAGGGGGGUGGAGAAAUGAGAUGAUGGAAAACUCCGGGAGCGUGUCGGGCGAGUGAAAGGUCCAGGCUGCUUGGCGUUCAGCUCCAGGACCAGGAGGUGUUUCUGUUCUUGUGCUCCUCUGGGUCUUUUUGUACUCGUGCCGUGUUCCUCCAGAACCAACUGAGGACCUUUUACUGGAGAUACUGCAGUGACCAGACAGAAAUCAGCUCAGACACUCACCAUUCCUACUAGCUGAGGGCGCUCUUCUGGGAGCACCUGGAUCUUCUGGAGAGCCAAGCAGAGAGCUGCUGGACUGAUUUGCACCAAGUGGACUGGGUCUCUUCAGUCGUUGGAGUCCAGGUUCUCUG